This 136-nucleotide transfer RNA is filed under the name Didymella glomerata. RNAcentral describes it as "tRNA-Asp". Lineage: Eukaryota; Fungi; Ascomycota; Dothideomycetes; Pleosporales; Didymellaceae. The record is from RNAcentral.
UCUUCGAUGGUCUAGUGGUCAUGAUUUCCGCUUGUCAUCGUCGGAUAACAAGCGCGGGAGACCGGGGUGAGUGAAGUCGAUAUCAGGUUACGACAUCAGAUACUAAUGAUUACAGGUUCGAUUCCCCGUCGGAGAG